Molecule: ribosomal RNA, 2219 nt
Filed under: Oxyurella longicaudis
Lineage: Eukaryota; Metazoa; Arthropoda; Branchiopoda; Diplostraca; Chydoridae
Description: SSU rRNA
Rfam family: Eukaryotic small subunit ribosomal RNA
Source: RNAcentral
UACCUGGUUGAUCCUGCCAGUAGCAUAUGCUUGUCUCAAAGAUUAAGCCAUGCAUGUCUAAGUACAAGCCGCUUGACGGCGAAACCGCGAAUGGCUCAAUAAAUCAGUUAUGGUUCCUUAGAUCCACCCAUCCUACUUGGAUAACUGUGGUAAUUCUAGAGCUAAUACAUGCACUCAAGUCCCGACUACCGGGUCAAACCGGUCAGGAAGGAUGCUUUUAUUAGAUCAAAACCAGUCGGGGUGGCGUAGCGAUACGCCGUCCCCGUUCCGUUUGGUGACUCUGGAUAACUUCUCGCGGAUCGCACGGUCUCGCACCGGCGACGCGUCUUUCAAAUGUCUGCCUUAUCAACUGUCGAUGGUAGGUUAUGCGCCUACCAUGGUUGCAACGGGUAACGGGGAAUCGGGGUUCGAUUCCGGAGAGGGAGCCUGAGAAACGGCUACCACAUCCAAGGAAGGCAGCAGGCGCGCAAAUUACCCACUCCCGGCACGGGGAGGUAGUGACGAAAAAUAACGAUACGGGACUCUUCCGAGGCCCCGUGAUUGGAAUGAGUACACUUUAAAUCCUUUAACGAGGACCCAUUGGAGGGCAAGUCUGGUGCCAGCAGCCGCGGUAACUCCAGCUCCAAUAGCGUAUAUUAAAGUUGUUGCGGUUAAAAAGCUCGUAGUCGGAAGUCUGUCUUCGGCCGGGUCGCGGUCCUCUGAAUCAAGGGGUACCGUUAUGGCUCUGGGUCGGGGGUGUCAAAGCCCUCGUCCCUUAACGGUCGGACAACACCGUCGGAGUGCGGGUGCGGCGCGCCCCGUUCGGUCGCGCUCGCGCGGCCUGCGGGGGCCGCGUCCCCCGCCGUAAUCGUCCGGGGUGCCUUUAACCGGGUGUCUCGGGCGGCCGACACUGUUUACUUUGAACAAAUUAGAGUGCUCAAAGCAGGUGCAUCCCACGCCUGAAUAUCUCAGCAUGGAAUGAUAAAAGAGGACCUCGGUCUUAUUUUGCUGGUCUUUUCUUUAGACCCGAGGUAAUGGUCAAUAGAGACGGACGGGGGCAUCCGUACUGCGGCGACAGAGGUGAAAUUCUUGGACCGCCGCAAGACGAACAACAGCGAAGGCAUUUGCCAAGAAUGUUUUCCUUGAUCAAGAACGAAAGUUAGAGGUUCGAAGGCGAUCAGAUACCGCCCUAGUUCUAACCAUAAACGAUGCCAACCAGCGAUCCGCCGGCGUUACUCCCAUGACUCGGCGGGCAGCUUCCGGGAAACCAAAGUCUUUGGGUUCCGGGGGAAGUAUGGUUGCAAAGCUGAAACUUAAAGGAAUUGACGGAAGGGCACCACCAGGAGUGGAGCCUGCGGCUUAAUUUGACUCAACACGGGAAACCUCACCAGGCCCGGACACUGGAAGGAUUGACAGAUUGAGAGCUCUUUCUUGAUUCGGUGGGUGGUGGUGCAUGCCCGUUCUUAGUUGGUGGAGCGAUUUGUCUGGUUAAUUCCGAUAACGAACGAGACUCUAGCCUGCUAAAUAGGUGGCGGGUUUUAUUGAAAAAGUACGGGGGGUCCGAGCCGGAGGGAACCGGUGGCCGUUUUCGUGGCGGGGGGUACGGGGCGGGUCCGCGCGGCCGGCGGGCGCGUCGUCAAGGGGGUUUUGGGCCCUCGUCGUUUCGCGACGGCGGGGGUUCGGGCCUUCCGGCGGCGCGCUCCGACGGUUCGCGUUGCCCGUUACCGGCCUCUCGUCGCGGGCGGUCAUCCCCUUCGAUACUUGGGCCCUCGCGUCCGCCACUUCUCUUCUUAGAGGGACAAGCGGCGUCCAGCCGCGUGACAGUGAGCAAUAACAGGUCUGUGAUGCCCUUAGAUGUCCUGGGCCGCACGCGCGCUACACUGAAGGAAUCAGCGUGUUUGCUUUCCCUGUCCGAGAGGACCGGGUAACCGCUGAACCUCCUUCGUGGUUGGGAUUGGGGACUGCAAUGAUCCCCAUGAACCAGGAAUCCCUAGUAGGCGCGGGUCACUAGCCCGCGUCGAUUACGUCCCUGCCCUUUGUACACACCGCCCGUCGCUACUACCGAUUGAAUGAUUUAGUGAGGCCUUCGGACGGGCCCGUCGGGGUGUUUCCAGCCGGGGGGCAACUCUCGGUUGGGGCUCCUAUUCACGGCGGGACUGAAAGAUGGUCGAACUUGAUCCUUUAGAGGAAGUAAAAGUCGUAACAAGGUUUCCGUAGGUGAACCUGCAGAUGGAUCAUUA